Molecule: long non-coding RNA, 250 nt
Filed under: Elaeis guineensis (African oil palm)
Lineage: Eukaryota; Viridiplantae; Streptophyta; Magnoliopsida; Arecales; Arecaceae
Description: long non-coding RNA (EGUI_LNC059213)
Source: RNAcentral
CGUUCAAAUUUACAGGGUGAUUGUUCUUGGAGAAGAAAGAUCAACAUCAAAGAGAACUGUUCCAAACUGAUCCUGAGCGGAUACCGGUAGAGACCAGGUACUUACGUGGCUUAGAAAGAACCUACUCUCUUUCAGAUCCAGAUUUGAAGAAAAAAAUUAUGAAAUAAUUAUAUGAUUCGAUCACAUAUUUAACUUCAACAUAAAAUUUAGCAUGUAUUCAAUUUCAGCAUAUGUAGAUCUAUGUGUUCUU